Molecule: ribosomal RNA, 379 nt
Filed under: uncultured bacterium
Lineage: Bacteria
Description: bacterial SSU rRNA
Rfam family: Bacterial small subunit ribosomal RNA
Source: RNAcentral
AUUGAACGCUGGCGGCAUGCCUUACACAUGCAAGUCGAACGGUAACAGGUUAAGCUGACGAGUGGCGAACGGGUGAGUAAUGUAUCGGAACGUGCCCAGUCGUGGGGGAUAACUGCUCGAAAGAGCAGCUAAUACCGCAUACGACCUGAGGGUGAAAGCGGGGGAUCGCAAGACCUCGCGCGAUUGGAGCGGCCGAUAUCAGAUUAGGUAGUUGGUGGGGUAAAAGCCUACCAAGCCAACGAUCUGUAGCUGGUCUGAGAGGACGACCAGCCACACUGGGACUGAGACACGGCCCAGACUCCUACGGGAGGCAGCAGUGGGGAAUUUUGGACAAUGGGCGCAAGCCUGAUCCAGCCAUGCCGCGUGCGGGAAGAAGGCC